This 75-nucleotide transfer RNA is filed under the name Dreissena polymorpha. RNAcentral describes it as "tRNA-Ser". It matches the Rfam family "tRNA". Rfam says of the family: Transfer RNA (tRNA) molecules are approximately 80 nucleotides in length. Their secondary structure includes four short double-helical elements and three loops (D, anti-codon, and T loops). Further hydrogen bonds mediate the characteristic L-shaped molecular structure. tRNAs have two regions of fundamental functional importance: the anti-codon, which is responsible for specific mRNA codon recognition, and the 3' end, to which the tRNAs corresponding amino acid is attached (by aminoacyl-tRNA synthetases). tRNAs cope with the degeneracy of the genetic code in two manners: having more than one tRNA (with a specific anti-codon) for a particular amino acid; and 'wobble' base-pairing, i.e. permitting non-standard base-pairing at the 3rd anti-codon position. The record is from RNAcentral. Lineage: Eukaryota; Metazoa; Mollusca; Bivalvia; Myida; Dreissenidae.
GCUUUCAUGGUGUAAAGAAAACAUGCCGACUUACUGAGUAAGUAGGAGAUCUGGGUUUGAUUCCCAGUGAGAGUG